UGGGGAAUAUUGCACAAUGGAGGGAACUCUGAUGCAGCGACGCCGCGUGAGUGAUGAAGGAAUUCGUUUCGUAAAACUCUGUUCUAUGGGAAGAAAAGGACUGUACCAUAGGAGAAAGCUCCGGCUAAAUACGUGCCAGCAGCCGCGGUAAUACGUAUGGAGCGAGCGUUGUCCGGAAUUAUUGGGCGUAAAGGGUGCGCAGGCGGCUUUACAAGUUGGAUGUGAAAUAUUGUGGCUCAACCACAAACGUGCAUCCAAAACUGCAAAGCUUGAGUUAAGGAGAGGUAAGUGGAAUUCCUGGUGUAGCGGUGGAAUGCGUAGAUAUCAGGAGGAAUACCGGUGGCGAAGGCGAUUUACUGGACUUAAACUGACGCUCAGGCACGAAAGCGUGGGGAGCAAACAGG
Molecule: ribosomal RNA, 404 nt
Filed under: Fusobacteriota bacterium
Lineage: Bacteria; Fusobacteriati; Fusobacteriota
Description: Fusobacteria bacterium partial 16S ribosomal RNA
Rfam family: Bacterial small subunit ribosomal RNA
Source: RNAcentral